CUUUGCUUCCUUUGCUUCUGCAAGGGAACAAUGAGCAAGUGCAUGUGUGGGAACCCUCCUGCCUGCUGGGCGCUCAGCUAGGAGUCCCAGAAUACCAGACACCAUUAUAUUCAAAUACCACAAAAGAUGUGAGAAUUCAAACUGAGCCAUAGCUCCAUCUCCUGGAAGUGUAUAUCAGCAGCAACAAGAGUAAAGACCCAGAGGCAUGAGAAACACUUCCUCACUGAAGCACUCACGUUCCGACUGUGUGCAAAAGACCUUUUGUGUCUCACUCACUGAGGGAGAUUGUUCUUCACUCAAUCAAUGAGAAGAACAGACGUCUUAGAAAACCUUCAGUACCUGGGGGAAAUGAAUGAGCUCAAACACAAGGGAAAGUCAGCCCGUGUUCAAGAUAAGCCCAUCUCAGGAAGGCAGGCACCAUGCUCCUGAGACUACUUUACCCCCAGAUAAGAAAGCCCUUAUUGAUAAGCCAAAAUCACAGAUUAUUUUAUUAAGCUCAUAUUUUAAAAGAAUGCAAAGCUUCC
RNAcentral lists this long non-coding RNA (524 nucleotides) under Homo sapiens (human). RNAcentral's name for it is "HSALNT0323892". The record is from RNAcentral. Lineage: Eukaryota; Metazoa; Chordata; Mammalia; Primates; Hominidae.